UCGCCCUGACCUGGGACAAGAGUUGUGGUGGCGCCACUUUCCCGCCAGCCCUGCAGCGGGGCCGCCGCCGCCGCCACCCAAUAUUAGCACACUAUUGUCUCCACGCCCACUCAUGUGCAUAAUAAUCUACGAGGCCACGAGGCAGAUCAACAACUGAUUACACUUGGUUCAUGGCUCUUGCGUGUCAAGUGGCACUUUUCCCUGCCUCGUUACCUGCAGUGCCAUCUGCAGGAGUGCCAGAGUGUGGUCCUGGGAGGCGCUGGCAGGGUUGCCCAGGAGACGGGACCAGGUCUCUGAGGGCGAAGGCAAGAUACUCGUGGUGGAGGUAGAGACACCGACGGAGGCGCCGCUGCUGGAAGAGUGCCCACUUCGACCCGGUGCCUGGUCUUCGGCGACUCCAGCACCCGCGAUGAGUCGGCCUCCCGCGCGGACCUGAAGACGGUAUUAGUGGACGGUGCAGUUAAUGGCGGCCGCGGUGCGGUGUAGCUGUGCUGAAGUCAGCAGAAAGUCCAACACAUUGGCCAUGCUGACAGUGCCAUUACCUACGCCCACGCCAGCACCAACGCCGCCCACGCCAGCACCCACGCCCCUUCCACCACCCCCGGACACUGUCCACGCUAGCCCUAUCCCGUUCUUGAGCGAAUUGGCGCUGAUGGUCGCCGACGAGGUGUUGGCUGAAGAGGGAGCUGAAGGAGGAGAGGAACUUCCCGCAGGGCGCGAAGUGUCUGUGACCCUCAUGGUGUAUAUGUGAUGGCGCUCCAGGGCACCUGAGGUAGCUACGGGGGUGGAGGAGCCUGGCACUAGGCUUGGGCCAGAUCACACACACACGAGGUGCACCGGACGAUGGCAUGAAGGUUCCACACACUCCUGUAUAGAACAAACUAUGUGCGAUAUACUACAUAGAAAAUGGGCAGCCCGUCCUCCAAAAAUGGGGUGGUAAAUGUAAGAAGACAAAUAAAUGCAAUUAUGUACUAUUCAAAAAUGGGUUACAUGAACGAGAAAUAGCAUUCACACGUGUAGAAUAUAAUACUGCUACGUACCACAAUGCUUAAUACUGCUACGUACCACAAUGCUUAAUACUGCUACGUACCACAAUGCUUAAUACUGCUACGUACCACAAUGCUUAAUACUGCUACGUACCACAAUGCUUAAUACUGCUACGUACCACAAUGCUUAAUACUGCUACGUACCACAAUGCUUAAUACUGCUACGUACCACAAUGCUUAAUACUGCUACGUACUACAAUGCUUAAUACUGCUACGUACUACAAUGCUUAAUACUGCUACGUACCACAAUGCUUAAUACUGCUACGUACCACAAUGCUUAAUAUUGCUACGUACCACAAUGCUUAAUACUGCUACGUACUACAAUGCUUAAUACUGCUACGUACUACAAUGCUUUAAUACUGCUACGUACCACAAUGCUUAAUACUGCUACGUACCACAAUGCCUAAUACUGCUACGUACCACAAUGCUUAAUACUGCUACGUACCACAAUGCUUAAUACUGCUACGCGAUGAAUGAUCCUGUUCAACUAUUACACUCUUGUUAAAUAAUAAACCUCGAUAAAACCCUAUAACGUGUAUGAAUA
Non-coding RNA from Procambarus clarkii (red swamp crayfish), 1590 nucleotides. The record is from RefSeq and is a predicted model, not a curated record. NCBI's taxonomy places the organism in Eukaryota, Metazoa, Arthropoda, Malacostraca, Decapoda, Cambaridae.